CUAUUCAAUAAUUUUUCUUCUUUAAAGCUAAGAGGAAGAAAGAGAGCCUCAAACUGAGUGGCAGAUGUUAAGUCAGGAAAUGGGAAACUCCGCCUUCGCAAGAGCUUGAGUCGUCUCCGUGACCUCUGUGGCCUCGUUGAAAGGCUUUCUCUGAAUUGAAUGACAACACGGAGGCUGAGGUUCUUCUUUCAGUACAUCCAAAUUGGCAUCCGGGACUUGAGCACCAUAUGGCCCAGAUGUUUUCUAGAAUCACUGUGGGCAUGCAAACAGAGACCACUGCCAGGGAGCCACUCCUACCUCAUACUUCAGAGCAUUUACACAAUGAUGUGGCUCAGAACAGAUAUAAGGCCCCUGCAGAAAGAGGACACCAACUGGUAUGAACAUGAGAGGGACAAAGAAAACAGUUCUGAACACGGUCUUUUAAGGUGGGGCUUUUUAUGCCAUUUUUUGUUUAAGUAUUGCAAAAAUUAACAAAACAGAACUGUAAUGAUUUAAACUUUUUAGCGGGAAAUUCAAGAAAUGUUUUGUUUUUAUGUAUUUUUUUUAAAGAUGAGAGUUACCAAAUCUAAACAACUUUUAAAAUCUUCUUUAAUAAAGUUGGUCCAUUUUUCUCAAAACCUGCAUCUUUGACAAUUUAUCAUACAUUGAGCUCUUCUCUCUCUCUUUACUGCAUUUAUCCAAUUCAUUUGAUCUCUUCUUCCCUUAUCGUUGCUUGUUAGCCAGGUAACCCUGGGAAUAUGUGCCUUUUAG
This 750-nucleotide long non-coding RNA is filed under the name Homo sapiens (human). Its description in RNAcentral is "HSALNT0042161". The record is from RNAcentral. Lineage: Eukaryota; Metazoa; Chordata; Mammalia; Primates; Hominidae.